This 253-nucleotide ribosomal RNA is filed under the name uncultured bacterium. RNAcentral's name for it is "partial 16S ribosomal RNA". It matches the Rfam family "Bacterial small subunit ribosomal RNA", at positions 524 to 776 of the family's 1533-position model. The record is from RNAcentral.
UACGAAGGGGGCUAGCGUUGUUCGGAAUCACUGGGCGUAAAGCGCACGUAGGCGGAUCUUUAAGUCAGGGGUGAAAUCCCGAGGCUCAACCUCGGAACUGCCUUUGAUACUGGGGAUCUCGAGUCCGGGAGAGGUGAGUGGAACUGCGGGUGUAGAGGUGAAAUUCGUAGAUAUUCGCAAGAACACCAGUGGCGGAGGCGGCUCACUGGCCCGGAACUGACGCUGAGGUGCGAAAGCGUGGGGAGCAAACAGG